This 71-nucleotide transfer RNA is filed under the name Nesophrosyne ogradyi. RNAcentral describes it as "tRNA-Tyr". Lineage: Eukaryota; Metazoa; Arthropoda; Insecta; Hemiptera; Cicadellidae. The record is from RNAcentral.
GUUAAGAUGUCUGAGAAAAAAGUAGUAAACUGUAAAUUUACUUAUGAGUUAAAAUUUAAGCUCUCUUAAUA